ACUUUUAAAGGAAAACAGGCUAUCCACUGGUUUUAGGCACCAGCCCUCUUGGUGCAAUUCCAAGUAAAAGUA
Molecule: transfer RNA, 72 nt
Filed under: Amphisbaena schmidti
Lineage: Eukaryota; Metazoa; Chordata; Lepidosauria; Squamata; Amphisbaenidae
Description: tRNA-Leu
Source: RNAcentral